UACGUAGGGGGCAAGCGUUGUCCGGAAUCAUUGGGCGUAAAGCGCGUGUAGGCGGCUGAGUAAGUCUGCUCUGAAAGCCCGGGGCUCAACCCCGGGAGGCGGGUGGAUACUGCUCAGCUCGAGUCCGGAAGAGGAGUGUGGAAUUCCUGGUGUAGCGGUGAAAUGCGCAGAUAUCAGGAGGAACACCGGUGGCGAAGGCGGGUCUCUGGGCCGAAACUGACGCUGAGGAGCGAAAGCGUGGGGAGCAAACAGG
Molecule: ribosomal RNA, 253 nt
Filed under: uncultured bacterium
Lineage: Bacteria
Description: partial 16S ribosomal RNA
Rfam family: Bacterial small subunit ribosomal RNA
Source: RNAcentral